GCUCUGAGCUGUCAGCACAGAGCCCGACGCAGGGCUCAAACUCAGGAACCGUGAGAUCAUGACCGAGCCAAACUCGGAGGCUUAAAUGACUGAACCGCCCAGGCACCCCUCUUAAGUUCGCUUUCUAUGCCUAUCCUUGUGGUAGGUACAUGGAAAGCAGUGUUAAGAUGGACAUGGGUUUUUUUCUCACUUGGAGUUUAUAUUCUACUUUGGGGGAGGGAAAGAAGAGAGAUCAUUAAGGAAAGAAGUUACAAACUGGGAUGGGCUUUGUAGGGGAAAGGUGAGGUAACGCCAGAGAAAGUAAAAACACUUAAAUGGAAAGAGAAGUAGAGUGGUCAGGGAAGGCUUCUUUGAGCUGUUACUGGGAGGAUGAGGUAGUGCCUAUUGUAUGAAGAACCAUGGGAAAAGCAGGAAGAAGAACAGGUGCAAAGACCGUAAGGUAAGAAGGGGUUUCUUCUAUGUGAAGAACCAAAGGAGGCAAGUAUAGCUGUAGCAUAGUGUGUGAGAAGUUAAGUUGCUAAUGGACUCAAAAGACAUUCAAGGAACCUCCUUUGAUCCAGAGCCUUGUCGUCUCUGGAAAGCAUUUGGGUUUAAUUCCAAACACAAGAAGAUGCUAUUGAAAGGCUUUACACCAAAGAAUAGCAUAAUCUGAUUUACUUUCUACAAAAUUGUAGCUGCUAUGUAGAAAAUGGAUAAUAGUAGCAAAAGUGAAAAUGGCUCUAACUCUUCACUUAUAAAGCUAUUCUAGUAUACAAUAGCUGUGAGGAUUAGAAGAGUAUCUUUGAAAUGUAGAAAAGGUGGAAUCAAGAUUAAUUUGGGAUAGAAGAGUAACAUUUGAGUUGAGGACCUUAUUUGCUAUACAGUAGAAUCUAAAUAUAUCAGUAAAUAGCAAACAAGUAUUUUUGGAGGGGAAUGUGGAGAUGAAUAUCAAAGCACUAGAAAUGUUGAAGGUAUUUCAGAGUGGAGACGACUGGGAGAGGGAGAUGCUAUUUUUUUCCCAUAAACAUUCAAUAUCACUGUUUACUAAAAAAAGUAUGUGUGUAUGUGUGUGUACAUAAAACCUUUGUUGUGAAAAGGUGUGUGGUAAUGGAUGGUAUAAGUCAACAAAGCAUUUUUUUAGUUGAAAAUACUGAUAUAUGUUGGUACACUGGCAUGAAUAAUAAGCAGAGAAUGAAAGUUUGAUGAUGUGCUGUAGACAGAAUAACUGAAGAAGCAACACUGAGAAGAAGAGAAAAUAUAGGUGUCAAGAGUUACAGUCACCCAUGAUUGAGAAAAUGACACUAUUUCCAUUUUAACAGAAAAGAAGGCUGAGAAGGUGAGUGCAGAUGCAGAGAGGUUUGAAUAUUUGUUAUAAUGAAAAUGAAGUAAAUCCUGUCUGAUGGUUUCUGUAUUCACCAUGACUUAUGGAAAUAGAUCAUCAGCUGAAAAUGAGUAAAAGUGAAGGAGUCUGACAUGAUAGGAAAAAAAUAUAUAUAUAUGGCAUUUUCCCCUUAUAGGAUGUAAAGACGAAUUUCCUAGGGAAGCAUAGUAGGACUACCAGAUUAUCUUGGAUGUUUGUUUGCAGUCUGUGGUUAUGAGUUUAAAGAGAAAUGAGUUAGCUGAUUGUAUUAUUUCUUUAUGAAAUUGCUUGGGUCUCUGUACAAAGAAACAAAUAAUUGAAAUCAAGCAGAUUUCAGAUUUUGUGAAAUGAGCUCAACAGAGAGAUGGGAGUCAAGGCAGUUGAUUUCACUUCAAAAGGAAUGGUCGUAUGAUGAAAACAUGAAAUCCAAGCUGGGUAAAUGUAAGAGUGAAUAUAGAUAAUUAAAAAGCAGUGGGAGUGGAGGAGGAUGUCAAUGAACUGGAGGUCUGUAAGAAGCUAAAGACUUACAGCAAACUAAAGUGAGCUGGACAUAUAGGAAGUAGUGGACCAAAAAGGAUGUUCAAAAUUGAUAUUUCACAGAGUACAGUUAUCAGUAUUUACACAGUCCAGGAUUAGUCCAGGAUAUAAACUGAGGUUGGCAAUGGUCUUUGGAAGUGACGAAGGUUCCAUGUGUAAGGAGCUUGGAAGUCUCCACUCUAUGCUAGCAAACUAUACAAUCAGCAACUCUUCUUGGAUCAGGAAGAGAAGGGACAACACAGGACAAACCUCUGCCACCAAGAUUGGCAAGACAAACAAAUACACAGAUUAGAAAAGUCUGAACUGUAAUUGAUGAAUUGCUGGAGGCUUUGUGUAGACAACUCUGAGAGUUACAAAAUCAGGGGACCCAGUCAUAGAGGGGCCUACCCAAAUAUUGUGAGAUUUACCUCCAAGAGCUUGACUAGGUUCCCACAGCAAAUAUCUGACAAGAAUUCCCUUGUGCUUUCUACAGGGGGAGGGGGAAAGAACCAUUUGAACAUACUUCAGAUCAUUCUCUUCUUUUAAAACAGGCUUGCCCUCAGGAGAAACUAGUUAGCCAGCACCUACCUAACUUGCUAGGCUAUUAUCAAAGCCUAACUGACCUAGGGGAAGGGAAACACCCAAUUCCUACCCACUCUAGUCAUCCUGUCUCACCUCAGGAGGACAGAAAAAAACCGAGAAACCCAGUUCACAGUUCAGAGACCUAGGGACACUAAAAGACUAAGAUCUAAUCACCUGAUUGUAGAAUGUUUCUCCUCCACCAACACCUCAACACUGUAUCACUAAGUCUAUUUACUGCAAUUCCUUUUAUUCAGUACAUUAUGUCCAACUAUGAAGAAAAAAUUUCCACGUAUACCAAAAGGCAAAAAAAAACACAACUUGGACAGUGUAAGCAUCAGAACCAGACAUGGCAGAGUUGUUGGGAAUUAUCAGAUGAGGAAUUUAGAACAACUAUGAUUAAUAUACAAUGAACAAUAAUGAACAAAGUAGGCAGCAUAAAAGAGCAGAUGGGCAAUGUACGGAGAGAGUUGGAAAUCCUAAGAAAGAAACAAAAAGGAAUGAUAGAGGUUAAAAAACAAAAACGUAACAAAAGAACUAAGAGACUAUGCCAUUGGAUGGAUCAUCUAAAUAUACUUGAAAGUCACUGAGAAUGACUACGUAUAGUGUUGGAAAGGGGAAAUAGGAUAAUAAACCAGGAAAUAAAGCGGUCAAUAAAUAACAGAAUGACUAGAAGUGGACAGCUGUGGAGGGCUGACCAGUGAUAGACCUGUGACAUUAGCUUCAGAGGACCUUGUAUUUUUGGAGACAAGGAGGACAUGCCCCAGAGCCUGUCCCUGGAAUUCACUAUAUAGGGGCAAAGAAAGUCUUCCAUUGAAAAGAAUAUAGUUGAGUCAUUAUUAAUUUAAUACAGCAGAGACUCAUUUAAUGCUAAGAAUGUAGGUCCUAUUUUGAUAGGGACACAUUCUAUUCAACAGCUAUAUGUGAAACAGAUACAUAUUGUGCUUUUUGUUUUAGGUGUUUGACAUACAGCAAUCAACAAAAAAUCCAAGUCUCUGCAUUUUUUUGGAACUUGUGUUCAUGUGUGGGGAGCCAGAAAUUAAACAUACCUUAUAUCUGGUAGUGGAGAGGCAGUCUAAGGAUGGGGACAUCAUACCGAGGAUAAUAGAACUGAGGGAACCACAGAGAAAUGGAGCCAGUGCCACUGGAAGUGGACUCGGGUUCACAAUAAACUCUGGGCUUCCAAUUGUGGAAAUCAGUGCAGUUCUUAUUUCUUAAAUGAGGAAUUGGCUCAUGCUUUAGAGACUAAUUCCCAAGAUCUGCAUUUGGCAAGCUGGAGACCCAGGAGAGCUGAUGGUAUUGUUCUGGUCCUAGUCCAAAGCCCUGAGACCCAGGAGAGUUGAUGUUGUAAGUUCAAGUCUGAGUCUGAGUCCAAAGGCAGAAGACUGAUUCCCAUCUCUAAGACAGACAGAGAAAAUUCUCCAUUAUUCAGCCUUUUUUGUUUUAUUCCGGUCUUCAAUAAAUCCAGAUGAGAGCCACUCACAUUGGGGAGGACAAUCUAGUCAGUCCACCUAUUCAAAUGUAAAUUUGGAUCCAGAUGCACUCUUACAGACACACCCAGAAUGUUUAACCAAAUAUCUGGGCACCUUGUGGCCCAGUCAAGUUGACACAUAAAAUUAACCGUUACAGACUACCACCCAGGCAUCCUUGUGAUCCUUAGGAGUGGCACUCAUCUUUACCAUCUGUACCCAAAAUAUGAUAUAUUGCUUUGGUUUUGUUGUAGUUUAGUCAGAGGUGAACGGGGUAUUAGUUUCCAAGACUCCUAUUUAGCCUUCCCCACUGUAACAGCUCUUGCUUUAGGAGCUAAAACCCAAUGUGGGGAUUACUCCAACUGCUGAAUAUGUCAAUCAUACUCGUAACCUUUAGGGACUGAAGAAAUGAGAGCGCUAGCUGUUUCCACAGACCCACUGUAGUCAUUGCGAGCCCAGAUCUGUCCCGGACUACAUUUAUUACCUGGCCUUUAUAUGUUCCUAUUUUUAAUGGGGAGACCAGGAUAAUACUCUUGGUCUCCAAGUAUCAAUGUCAACUCAUACCCUAUGUCCAAUUUUCCCUGAAAUGUCUGGAUAUUUCCUUUUCCUUAAUGUUCAGUCACCUGAGAAAAUAGCCGAGGUUCCCUUGGGAGAAGGACUAACUAGAAGAAUCAGUAUAAUAUCUAUUUUCCAUAGUAUUGUGGAGUCCUUUCCUCCAGGACCUGGCUGCCUCUAUAAUCAACAGGUUCUGGGCCUGAAAAUGAGCUCAGAUCUGGGAACUGGGCAAGGGAUCAUGACUUUUUUUUUCUAUUAUGACCAAGUAUCUUCAUCCACUCUUGCUUUCUUUGAUUACAUAUAUUAGGCAGUAUCCUUGUUGACUGCCCAUCAAUUUCUCCCCCUAGGAACACUGAGUUCUAGAAAACAUUUCUACAACUCUUUCCAGGUUAACUCCUUUGGCUAUCAUGCUGGUUUUGACAGUUAUUAGGAUAAUUGUGAAUACCCUGACUUCUAGCAUUAAGUUUUGUCUUCUGGAUCUAUUGUGCAUUUGGGUCCCAACAUUCCUGUUGCUGUUAAUAAGCCAAGUUCUAUGAUAAUAUCACCUAUUAUGAACUCUGGCCUUUAAAGGCAAGCUGUCACUGAACUUCUUUGUAAGGGUAAUGCCUCUCUUACCAGGGCAUGCCCAAUGUUUUGGUGAAUGGUGUAUCCUCUGACCUCUCUCAUGGAACAUAAUCUUCCCUGUGGGCUCCUGGCCUCAAUAAUAUAUCUACUUUUCUGAUCUUUUAAAUCUCGCCCUCCAUUGCUUGCCAUGGCAAUUCAGGUAUUUCAACAUCUCUCAGCAUACCAGUACUUUGUCCAGACUUCUAGGAACCAUCCUAACAGGAGGUUUGCACCACCCCCUGGGACCCUGCCAGGGUGUUAAAUCCCAUAUUCCAAGAACGCUUCCAAGUCAAUAAGCUCAGCCUUGUCUAGUUUAUGUUCUAGCUCUCUUGAUGAAGCACUCUGAAAAUCCAGUCCCAAAUACUCCUCUGUUUGCUAUCAGUAUAUGCUGACUAGUUCUUGCUCUUCUUUGGGAUAUAAAUCAGGGGUAGCUUAUUCCCAUGUGGAUUAUGCUAUGACUUAACCCUAGUUAUUGGUAUGGCAGCCAUGAGAGAAGGUGAGGUAAGUUUCUGAGAGAGCCUCCUUUUGCUUUGUUCAGAACCACUCACUAUAGUAACUUUCUGCCUGAAGGGAGUGCUAACUUUUAAUCAGAAAAGUGGGGAACAUACGUAGGCUCUGAGUGUUCAGAUGAGUCUCAGCAGCCAGAAUCUUUGGGGGCAUCCGCACAGCUGUCUAUAUCCCAUGUGUCAGGGUCCCAAGUUGUCCAACAAGUUACCUAUCCUUGGCUUCAAUUGUUUUAAAACUUUCUUGAUUAAUUAAGUUUUGAGUUUGCUGUUCAAGCUUUUUCUGUUUUCCCAGGGUAGGGUUUAAGAGUGACUUUGGAAGCUACUAGUGAAGUAAUGAGUUUUCACUUGGUUAACUGCUCUCUGGUUUUCAUUAACCUUUUGUAGGCCUUUGUGCAACUUAAUAAGACCUUGUAUGUAUUGUUCCUACAUGUACACACACUUUUGAAUUGCCUGAAAUUUUUGCCCCAGCCAUGGCAUUCCUCUGCUUCAGAAUAAUUGCCUUAGCACCAACUAGCAUAACUGGGCCACCACAUUUCUCCUAGGGCCUCUCCGUGCCCCAGAUACCAUGUGUGGUGAGGUUCAUUGACAGUGGGACAGUUCUGAUUUAGUUUCCCAAACCCCAUCUACUGCUUUCUCAGACGACACCUUUUAUCAACUGUGCCGCCUUGAGUGUUCCAAGAAAAAGAUGACAUGAAGUUAGUUGUACAGGAAGUCUAUUGGAAGAAAGGUAAAGACAGCAGCAUCGGGAAACAAAGCUUUCAGAUUAUGGUACAAAUCUGACAAAAGCUCACACAACACGACAUGGAGCUCUGGAACAAAUAUUGCCUGUUGGGGAAAUCCUACAACGGGAGAAAUGGCUGUGCCCUAGUGUGAUUGCCACGCUCAGUCAGUGGCUGAGGGCUACCAGAGAAGAGGUUGUCUCCACUGGAAUGCUGUAUCAAAACUCAAAAAUGCUGCAGGUAGAGGCAAUUACUUUAAUGGCAUUAAUUGCAGCUGAACUGCAAGUUCUAUCUUGAAGGGAGAUCGAAGUAGUGCACUUCCAUGUCUGCCCUACUGAUCUAGCCUGAGAAGGCUCAGGUGUGCCAGCAACGAGUAGCCAAAGAACUUGAUCCAGGGGAUGGGAAGGAACGCUGAAAUACGGAGGGCUGAUUGAAAGCUACUGAAGAAGCAAUUACAACACUAGAUCUCUCCAAGUCCGUAUCACCAGGCAAAGGCCAACGGGAAAGUGGAGUUCUACUGGAACACAGCUAUGACCUUCUGUUUAUAUAUUGCCUAUGGCUGCUUUCUUCCUACAACACAAGAGGUCCCCAAGCUUGCCAUUUCUGCUAUUGCCUGAGCUCUUUGAGGCAUUUGUCUCUUCCUUCCUGUACCAAGAUUUAAAGUAAUCACUCAAUAAACAUUCUAAGGCAACUCCUCAUUCUUGUGGAAAGAAAAUAAAACUGAGAAAAGAUGAUACAAGAAUCACUCUCAAUAUCAUGUAAACAAUUUCUUCUCUGCCCCUAUCAUCAUGCAGCAAUGAAAUCUCUGGAACAAUUUAACAAUGGAGCAUAAAGGAACUAAACAAGAAGCAGCAGACUAUGUGAGUACAGUUGAAGGAGCUGAGAGUGAGGAGCAAAGAUCACACAGAGGAUCAUAGAAGCUGUGGGAGGAAGGAGAUAGAACAGGCCUUUGGCAGAGAUAUUUUUCUGCCUACAUCUAGGCUAUCUGGGAAUACCAGGACUAUCUAGGACACUGGAGGAGCUGGGUGUUCUCAGUGAUUUUUAGCCCCCUGGCAUUCAUGUCCUUAUGUGUUCUCCCCCCACACUGGAAAAGUCUGGCCUAGGUAACCAACAGGAUACUGUAGAAAUGAUUGAGUAUGUCUUUUGAGACUGAGUUAGAAAGGAUAUGUGGCUUCUGCCUGCUCUUUUGGACCACUCAAUCUGGGAAAGCCAGCUGGUGUGUUGUGAGGAUUCACAAUAAUAGGUGAGGUCCAUAGGUGAGGAGCCGAGGUCUCCAUCCAGUAGACAUGAGUAAGCAAUUCUGGAGGUAGAUUUUCUAGCCUCAGACAAGCCUUUAGAUGAAGCAACCUGGACUGAUAU
Long non-coding RNA from Felis catus (domestic cat), 7645 nucleotides. RefSeq lists it as uncharacterized. The transcript has 7 exons. NCBI's taxonomy places the organism in Eukaryota, Metazoa, Chordata, Mammalia, Carnivora, Felidae. The record is from RefSeq and is a predicted model, not a curated record.